GGCCUAUGGGGCGCAGCAGGCGCGAAAACUUCACAAUGUGCGAAAGCACGAUGAGGGGAUUCCAAGUGCUUCUCGUAAGAGUAAGCUGUUU
This 91-nucleotide ribosomal RNA is filed under the name uncultured marine euryarchaeote. Its description in RNAcentral is "partial 16S ribosomal RNA". It matches the Rfam family "Archaeal small subunit ribosomal RNA", at positions 319 to 412 of the family's 1478-position model. Lineage: Archaea; Methanobacteriati; Methanobacteriota. The record is from RNAcentral.